CCUACGGGAGGCAGCAGUGGGGAAUAUUGCACAAUGGGGGAAACCCUGAUGCAGCAACGCCGCGUGAGUGAAGAAGGUUUUCGGAUUGUAAACUCCUUUUGUUAGAGAAGAUAAUGACGGUAUCUAACGAAUAAGCACCGGCUAACUCCGCGCCAGCAGCCGCGGUAAUACGGAGGGUGCAAGCGUUACUCGGAUUGACUGGGCGUAAAGAGCGCGUAGGCGGGAUAGCAAGUCAGAUGUGAAAUCCUAUGGCUUAACCAUAGAACUGCAUUUGAAACUGUGAUUCUAGAGUAUGGGAGAGGUAGGUGGAAUUCUUGGUGUAGGGGUAAAAUGCGUAGAGAUCAAGAGGAAUACUCAUUGCGAAGGCGACUUGCUAGAACAUAACUGACGCUGAUGCGCGAAAGCGUGGGGAGCAAACAGGAUUAGAUACCCUAGUAGUC
Molecule: ribosomal RNA, 440 nt
Filed under: uncultured bacterium
Lineage: Bacteria
Description: partial 16S ribosomal RNA
Rfam family: Bacterial small subunit ribosomal RNA
Source: RNAcentral